AUCCAGAUGAUGAGUCCCAAAUAGGAAAAAAUGCGCAUCCUGGAU
Trichobilharzia regenti is the source of this 45-nucleotide non-coding RNA. Lineage: Eukaryota; Metazoa; Platyhelminthes; Trematoda; Strigeidida; Schistosomatidae. The record is from Rfam.